Long non-coding RNA from Trichechus manatus latirostris (Florida manatee), 437 nucleotides. RefSeq lists it as uncharacterized. The transcript has 3 exons. Lineage: Eukaryota; Metazoa; Chordata; Mammalia; Sirenia; Trichechidae. The record is from RefSeq and is a predicted model, not a curated record.
CAAUAAAAGAAAAUUGAAUUUUAAUCACAAUGAAGUGGGGUGAAGACUUUGAAGUGGUGACUUCUGGUGGCACAAUGGUUAAGCACUCUCCUGCUAACUGAAAGGUCAAAGACUGAGUUAUCUAUUCACGCAGAAACAUGAGGCAGUAGAAGAGAGAGAGAUCGUACAUAAUGUUGAUCUGAUCAUCAACAGGAAAGGAUCUACUGAAGUUUGCAAAAGUCAAUGAGACGUUGAGUGUCUUCAUCACUUCAUGCCACUGUUUGCCAAUAGGACUGGGUGCUGCUUGAUGCAAUGAAACUUUUCCUCAAAGAUUCUUGAAAAUUACUGUUGAAUAAGAAGGAUCACCUUAUCCUAAAGUCUCGGGAAGAAAUUGGCAGAAUGCCCUUCCUCCUGAGUUAGGACAGAUGUUAAGCAAUUGAGUCCUUCUCAUUCUUCAU